UAAUUAAGUCACCGCUGAGGAUGAAGUUGUUCAACAGCAUCAUAUGUCAAUAUUCAAACAAUAGUGUUUUUUUAAAGCAAUAUUUAAAAUAAUAUUUGGGUGAUUAUAAUACGAUUCUUUGUACUUUUGUUUUUUCCAGCUAUGUUUGCCUGAGGAAGAGGGCUGCUUUCCUUGAGUAAAUUGUAUCCCUACAAAGAAAAUGAAACCAUUGGAAGAGAUCUUUCAUUUGCUGCCAAAACAAUGAGAAAAAAUCAGUGCGGCCCGCAAGAUUGAUAUGAAUGACACUUGCUGUGAGCAGAGCUGAACGAACCAAUCACGGGAGGUGUAUGGCUCUGGAGGGCGGGACAUCGGUGGGCUGUCCAGUACCUCCUCACUCAUUCCUUUAUUUUUCCAGUCAGCUGGGCGGAGGAGGAGCCAAGAAGCCGCUGAGGGUGCCUUCACACGGAAUGCGAUUCUCGAGACAAAUUUGCGUGCCCUCCUCUCACAGUGAAUUCUCUGCUUGCCGCUUGUCAAAAAAUGUGUUUCUGAUGCCACGCAGCGUGUGGGAGGAGCUACAAGCUCUGUCUGUGGAUGUCUGUAAUGAAUUCUCCAAUGAAUGGAAGACACGAUCAGGUUUAUUUAUUGUGAAGAGUUCUAAAAAAAUCUACAAAAAUGAAAUCCCUCAAAGAUUUUCUCGUUAUUGGGACUUCUAUCUCUCUCAGGGGGUGUGUCUGGAUGACAGCCGUUUCCACUGUGUUUGGGUCUCUGUGACUGAGUUUGAAGCUGUCCCGCAUUAACCUGGGGGGGGGCUGCAGCCAGAGAACCACCGCACUGCGACAGAACAAAAUGCUCAUAUUAGAUUAGUAUUCUAGCAUUCUGAUCUUUUCACUGAAAAUGUCCCAUGCCCAUAGCUUAGUGCCUGAUUGGCUGAUGUGACUCAGCGACCUGUCAAAUUUCAGUUAUUUACAUUUUGGCCGUGCCGCCCAAUUCGCACCUCGCCGCUCAAAUCGAGCUGCUGGCAUCUGGCGCCACGUUGGUCGCUCAUAUCGCGCCGCAGGGCUUCAAUUCGCCCCAGAGCGCGCCUGUGUUGAUUUACACUGGAGCUGGCCACCUCUGCCGCGCGAAUCACGUUUGCUGUGAAAGCACCUUGAUGACUCCUAGGGCUGUAACGAGUAUCCGGGUGAUCGGGUACUCGCGAUCUGCUCGCGAAAAUUGGAGUACGAAUAUUUGCGACGUCCAAAAUCACUGAUUCGCAAUCUUUAUCAAUGUUUAUUCCUGUUCUAAAUAAAGGUAUAAAUGAUGAUUAAAUACAAAUAAUUUUCUUCUGAAAAUCCUGAUGCGGCCCAGCCUCACCCAGACUCUGCCUCCAGCGACCCCCGGCUGAAUUGAGUUUUAGACCCCGCCUGAAACGGUGCAUUGUUAUGUCAUAUAAAUUUCAUUUUGUGAUUAUUCACAAAUAAGUGGUCGUCAAAUACUGUAAAUAAAAUUAAAAAAUGCUAUUAAUUUUGCCUCAGAUUUGCAAUUAAUUUGUUAACUUUUUUAAUCGAUUCGCGGCCCUAAAAAAUUAUAUUUAAACACUUUUAUUUUUAUCUGCAAUUAAGUAAAUAAUUGAUACGUUUGUUUACAGCUGUGUGAAGCCCUCAAGGUUUUGUUUCCAAAACUGGCAACAGUUACAGGUGGUUGGUUGUUGUAUGAAUGUCCAGGUAGGAAAUAUUGAGUUUCAAUUCAGUGCCAUGUGAUCUGCUUUGCAUAUUGAUUCACCUUAAUAAGUUAAGACAUUAUUUGAUGUAUCUGUAAUUUCAUUACAUCAUAAUUUAUCAUAAAAGCAUAGUUGGCUAUCUUUUUUUGUCUUAAGACUGAUUUUCUCACGGCCAUGUUGUGUUUUGCAGGUCAGCUGUCACUCCUCCUGGAUACUUCCUCUGUGGAGUGCACAGCUGCCUGCACUUUGUAAUUAAGACUAUUUUGGUUCCAAACUUUCAGUCCUCGGUGGUGGUGCGUCCCCGUUAGGACCGUGAGUUUCCUGUUUUAGUCGACACUGAAGUUUGUGAGUCUUCAGAUUUUUCUUAGUCUUUCGUCUUUCCUUUGUCCUUAGUUUGUUUUUGUCCUUCUGCAGUUUUCGCUCUUGUGAGGUGUUUUUAUGUUAUUAAUUAAAAUAUGUCUGCUGCAUUUCAAGCCUGAUUCUCUCUGCACCUGGGUUCUUGUCACUCCAGGCAUCACAGCUUUAGAUUAUUUUGUCCUGGAUAGUAGUCAUACUGUAGUCAAAGUUGCUUUCAUUCUUUUGUAUGAUUUAAAGUACUAAUCUAACUAAGUUUAAAAGCUAAUCUUUCCCUUAAAGAUUUUAUACAGGUGGCUGGGGGAGCCGAAAACUCUCUUUAGUUCCACCUGAUGAUCCUGGCUACACAGACAAGAACUUCAAAUUGACAGUGUCUUCACAAGGUAGAGAGUUUGGGAUGUACAGUUCAGUUCAUCUGGGUUCCGGCACAUGUUGGGAUCACAGGCAAUGAGACUGCGGAUGCUCUGGCCAAGGGGUCACUUGCAAGUUACAUAUGGAGAACAGGUGCACUCCAGCCACAUCUGGUGACUUUAAAAAGAGCACCAGGUACAGCAGCAAGACACACAGAGAUGCACAGACACAGAGGCACAUAGAAGACACGCAGGCGGGGGUCCCCACGUCUCCCGGAGCCAUGCCGCCCUGGGAGCGGGGUGACCACCGGUCCUCCCUAGACGGCACAAGCUUUAGCCACCUGAUGUGACGCGCUUGGAGUCAAGGAAGGGGAGAGUCAGCUGGAGCGGCAGAGGGGUGUGGUUGCGACCCACCCCUCUUUGAGCUAAGUACCCCUUCCUUGUCCUUCCUGAAUGGCUUUUUUUAAGAGCAGUGUCUUUCCUUUUAGCUGCAAUGGGAGGAGUGCAUGCCAGGGCCUGUUUUAUACUUUGUGCAUGUUUUAUCAUUUUUACUAAAGCUUUUAUUGUUUUGUAUUCAGGCACCUGAUGUUUAUAUUUCUCUACUCAAACUCCUCCCAAUGGACAGCAUGGACUCCAAUCCAGG
Molecule: long non-coding RNA, 3025 nt
Organism: Oryzias melastigma (Indian medaka)
Lineage: Eukaryota; Metazoa; Chordata; Actinopteri; Beloniformes; Adrianichthyidae
Exons: 3
Source: RefSeq, a predicted model, not a curated record